GCCGGGGUGGCCGAGCGGUCAAAGGCGACACCGCCCAAGGGCGGCGCUAAGGGCUGCAGAGAAUGCCGAAGAGACCCGUUAAAUCGCGGGUUCGAAUCCCGCCCCCGGCU
Molecule: transfer RNA, 110 nt
Filed under: Sulfodiicoccus acidiphilus
Lineage: Archaea; Thermoproteati; Thermoproteota; Thermoprotei; Sulfolobales; Sulfolobaceae
Rfam family: tRNA
About the family: Transfer RNA (tRNA) molecules are approximately 80 nucleotides in length. Their secondary structure includes four short double-helical elements and three loops (D, anti-codon, and T loops). Further hydrogen bonds mediate the characteristic L-shaped molecular structure. tRNAs have two regions of fundamental functional importance: the anti-codon, which is responsible for specific mRNA codon recognition, and the 3' end, to which the tRNAs corresponding amino acid is attached (by aminoacyl-tRNA synthetases). tRNAs cope with the degeneracy of the genetic code in two manners: having more than one tRNA (with a specific anti-codon) for a particular amino acid; and 'wobble' base-pairing, i.e. permitting non-standard base-pairing at the 3rd anti-codon position.
Source: Rfam by way of RNAcentral